RNAcentral lists this ribosomal RNA (304 nucleotides) under uncultured bacterium. RNAcentral's name for it is "partial 16S ribosomal RNA". It matches the Rfam family "Bacterial small subunit ribosomal RNA", at positions 506 to 807 of the family's 1533-position model. The record is from RNAcentral.
CAGCAGCAGCCACGGUAAUACGGAGGGUGCAAGCGUUAAUCGGAAUUACUGGGCGUAAAGCGCACGCAGGCGGUUUGUUAAGUCAGAUGUGAAAUCCCCGAGCUUAACUUGGGAACUGCAUUUGAAACUGGCAAGCUAGAGUCUUGUAGAGGGGGGUAGAAUUCCAGGUGUAGCGGUGAAAUGCGUAGAGAUCUGGAGGAAUACCGGUGGCGAAGGCGGCCCCCUGGACAAAGACUGACGCUCAGGUGCGAAAGCGUGGGGAGCAAACAGGAUUAGAUACCCGAGUAGUCCCUGUCUCUUAUAC